This 465-nucleotide ribosomal RNA is filed under the name uncultured bacterium. RNAcentral describes it as "partial 16S ribosomal RNA". It matches the Rfam family "Bacterial small subunit ribosomal RNA", at positions 338 to 795 of the family's 1533-position model. The record is from RNAcentral.
CCUACGGGUGGCAGCAGUGGGGAAUAUUGCGCAAUGGGCGAAAGCCUGACGCAGCGACGCCGCGUGAGGGAUGAAGGUCUUCUGAUCGUAAACCUCUGUCAGCAGGGAAGAACGGUCACUGUGCUAAUCAGCAGUGAAUUGACGCUACCUGCCAAGGCAGCACCGGCUAACUCCGUGCCAGCAGCCGCGGUAAUACGGAGGGUGCGAGCGUUAAUCGGAAUUACUGGGCGUAAAGCGCUCGUAGGCGGUAUGUCAAGUCAAGGGGGAAAUCCCCGCGCUCAACGUGGGAACUGCCUUUGAAACUGGCAAACUGGAGUGUGUGAGAGGAGAGUGGAAUUCCAGGUGUAGGAGUGAAAUCCGUAGAUAUCGGGAGGAACAUCAGUGGCGAAGGCGACUAUCUGGCACAUAACUGACGCUGAGGAGCGAAAGCGUGGGUAGCAAACAGGAUUAGAUACCCGAGUAGUC